Molecule: long non-coding RNA, 911 nt
Organism: Suricata suricatta (meerkat)
Lineage: Eukaryota; Metazoa; Chordata; Mammalia; Carnivora; Herpestidae
Exons: 6
Source: RefSeq, a predicted model, not a curated record
GGAAGUGCGGGCCGCGGCGCGAUCACGGGGUGCGCGCGCGGCGCGGGGACCCCGAGUUUUCCCGGAAGCCUGGACCUGGGGCCGGGCGGGGCUGGAGCCUUUCCGGAUGCCAGCUCGUCCACAACGUAGAACCAAAUAGUGGAGACCCAUAUUUCCGUUUCUGCCGGGAGGUGGAAGUUACGGAUGGGCCCGGAAGAGAAUGAGCACGACUUCCCAUCUUAGUUCCUACCCUGUUCUGGAAGCUGCCAGAAUUCUGGGGUGUAAUUCCCACUGAAAGGAAUGGAAGAUGGGAUGCUAUGUGUUACCUUGGAAGCACGGUUUGAACCAGAAAGAUGAAACUGACUCCCCAAAUUAGACUGGUUCAGACAUUUGUGCAUUCAAGAGGCUUCUUACACUAAAGUUUGAAGCGCUGUGCAAGCAUGUGGUCCUGCAGGAUGCUGAUGGUGGUCUUUGUUGGGAACCGACGAUAAACUCACGAAGUGGAAAGACUUACAGACUCUAAUGGAGAUCUAGUCAAGUUCUUGGAAAAGGAAAGAGCCCUAGUACAUGAAGAGAAGGGAGACAGUAACCACACACCCAGCUGCAUCUUCCAAUGGCACCCAGAGCCUCCUUCCAACGAUGUGCAUAGAAACUUCUUUCCAAAGAGUCAGUGGGUAGACAUAAACACAGUACCCUUGGGAAUGUACACGUAAUGAGGGACUGGAACAGGACUGGGAAGAGAGAAGGCAUCAAAGACAUGAUGAAGGUCAGAUCUAAAGGGAGACAACUGCCCGCUACAAGAACCUCACUGUCCAAAAUGGAGAAAGAUAGAAAACAGUUUAGAAAACCCCCUAACUCUGCAAGGCGGUGUGUUUCUAUAAACAAAGGCUCAAAGCAAAUGGUCAAAUGUACAUAUUUGCACAACAAAAAUG